Zea mays is the source of this 268-nucleotide RNA transcript. It is a transcript of the gene named trypsin-like pseudogene, with no coding region annotated. NCBI's taxonomy places the organism in Eukaryota, Viridiplantae, Streptophyta, Magnoliopsida, Poales, Poaceae. The transcript has 2 exons. The record is from RefSeq and is marked validated.
CAUGUGAAUGAUUUGUGCUGCUGCUGCUGUUAUCGUGAUGCUCGCGAUGACAGGGCCUGUGGUCGCGGAGGCCAUGUUCGUGAACAGGGAAGAGAUCCCUGUGUACCCGCUGUACAGAGAUCCUGUACAUGAUUUUGGUUUUUUUCGCUAUGAUCCAGGUGCCAUUAAGUUUCUUAAGUAUGAUGAGAUUCAGCUGGCACCUGAAGCAGCAUCAGUCGGGCUAGAAAUCUGGGUUGUCGGAAAUGACAACGGGAAAAAUGUUCCAUGA